ACCAAAGCAGACGACAUCUUCCAUUCAGAUAUCAAUAUCGAUAGUAAACUUAGUUUGAUUUCUCCCGUUAAAAUGGCGCGCUUUUCGAUCACUCUGUUUCUUGUUGUUCUGCUAUACGUGUACACCGCUGAAGGUAGUGUACUUCGUGAAUCCCUCAAUCAAGUCGGGGAGGAUGGUAAAUUUGACAAGUUGGCUUUAGUGAUAACAUGGCCCCCUUCAUUUUGCCACAAGAUGUGCGUGAAGCCAAGUUCGGACUAUAGGAUUUGGACAAUACACGGGCUCUGGCCUUUUGCGAGUGGUGUGAAACACACUCCGACAUACUGCCCAGGGGAGUACGACUCUACACUCAUUAGAGGUACCUUGCGUGAUGAGAUGAACCAAAAAUGGCCCAAUCUGAGGGGCGGACCUAAUGACAAGUUCUGGAAACACGAAUUUGAGAAACACGGAAUGUGCCCCUUCGAUCCGUCAGUUUUUAGGCCCCAACAGGAGUACUUCAAAGAUGCGACUCGUCUCUAUGGCCAGUACGACAUCAAAACAAUCCUACAACACGACGGAGUUGUGCCCUCCAUCCAUGACAGGUAUACAUUGGCUCAAGUCAAUACAGCACUGUAUAAAGGGCUUGGCGUCUUUCCGGCGGUCUACUGUUAUGAAGUAAAAGGUAUCCAGUUCUUGUUAGAAGUGCGCAUGUGCUUUGACCUCAACCUUCGACCUAUCACCUGCGGGGAUGCCUUGGUAGGAGGGGGCAGGUGCAACCCCAAGAAGGAAAUCAUUUACUCGCCUACCGAGAUCAAAGUCAACCACCAGAUUUUGACCACGUCGGGGGACCUCGCAGUCCAUUUCUUAGUCGACAUCGCCGAGAUGGAUGCGAGGGAUAAGAUGAUGGAUGAGGAGGAGGAUGACCACGUCGAGCUGUGGCAGAAUCUUAACCAAAACAUCGAUGAGGAGUAGAUGUAGGGUGACUAUAUAAUACAGUCGCCAUCAGUUAAAUCAACUUUAACAUAUCUAAUAGUGUAAUUUAGUUUAGCGUAUGAAAUUGAGACUCUGUUUUCUGUCUCCUUGAAAAAGUAUAACACAAUUUAUACAUAAAAUCCACUUCAAGACCAAUUUUUUCUUCAGUCUCCCCUUGGAGGUUUUUAUAAUUCAGAUUAAAUAUA
Strongylocentrotus purpuratus (purple sea urchin) is the source of this 1154-nucleotide long non-coding RNA. RefSeq annotates it as ribonuclease DdI. NCBI's taxonomy places the organism in Eukaryota, Metazoa, Echinodermata, Echinoidea, Camarodonta, Strongylocentrotidae. The transcript has 8 exons. The record is from RefSeq and is a predicted model, not a curated record.